UAAUAAGUGUUUUAUAGCACUUUUUAAAUCCAUAUCCACCUUGUGUGCAAUGUCAGUCGAUCUUCUUCAUGGAGAUCGACCAAACAUCAACCUUUAUCUUUUAACUCUUUGUCUGAAAAAUAUUAUGAAUAAACAAUUCAAAAUA
Molecule: unclassified non-coding RNA, 145 nt
Filed under: soil metagenome
Description: partial internal transcribed spacer 1
Source: RNAcentral